This 333-nucleotide ribosomal RNA is filed under the name uncultured bacterium. RNAcentral's name for it is "partial 16S ribosomal RNA". It matches the Rfam family "Bacterial small subunit ribosomal RNA", at positions 338 to 668 of the family's 1533-position model. The record is from RNAcentral.
CCUACGGGCAGCAGCAGUGAGGAAUAUUGGUCAAUGGGCGGAAGCCUGAACCAGCUAAGUAGCGUGCAGGAUGACGGCCCUACGGGUUGUAAACUGUUUUUAUACGGGCAUAACGCGCCUUACGUGUAGGGCUUUGCAUGUACCGUAUGCAUAAGGUCAGGCCAAUUACGUGCCAGCAGCCGCGGUACUACGGAGGGUCCGGGCGUUAUCCGGAUUUAUUGGGCUUAGGGGGAGCGUAGGCCGCUUGUCAAGCGUGCUGUGAAAUGCCCGGGCUUAACCCGGGCCUUGCAGCGCGAACUGGCGGGCUAGAGUCCGCGGAAGGCAGGCGGAAUU